AAACCAUUUUUCCCCCUUAGUAUGGGUGACAGAAAAGGGCAUCGAGGCGCGAUAGAGAAAGUACCGCAAGGGAAAGCUGAAAGAGAAAUGAAAUAACCCAGCAAAGCUCUAUAAAGCAGAGAUAGCCCCUCGUACCUUUUGCAUCAUGAUUUAGCCAGUAAAAUUUAAGCAAAGAGCACUUUAGUUUAAAACCCCGAAACUACGUGAGCUACUCCGAGACAGCCUAAGAAUAGGGCUAACCCGUCUCUGUGGCAAAAGAGUGGGAAGAGCUCCGAGUAGAGGUGACAAACCUACCGAACCUAGUUAUAGCUGGUUGCCUGGGAAAUGGAUAGAAGUUCAGCCUCAUGGCUUCUCCACUCGCAUCACACUUACCCAAGGACUAUAGAAGAAACCCUGAGAGUUAUUCAAAGGAGGUACAGCUCCUUUGACCCAAGACACAACUUUAUCAGGAGGCUAAAGAUCAUAUUUAUAUUAAGGCAAGAUGUCCUGGUGGGCCUAAAAGCAGCCAUCCAUACAGAAAGCGUUAAAGCUCAAACAUACCCGCCUCCCCUAUUAUAAGGAUAAUUUUAUCUUAAACCCCUAACCCCUACCAGGCCCUCCCAUGCUAACAUGGGAAUGAUAAUGCUAAAAUGAGUAAUAAGAGAGCCAGACUCUCUCCCUGCACGUGUGUACCUCGGAACGGACCCCCCACCGAAUCUUAACGGCCCCAAACAAAGAGGGUAAUGAACAACAAAAGAGAUAACCAGAAGAACACUCAACCUCUACCGUUAACCCCACACUGGUGUGCCCCUAGGGAAAGACUAAAAGAAAAAGAAGGAACUCGGCAAACACAAGCCUCGCCUGUUUACCAAAAACAUCGCCUCUUGCAAAAUUAAUGAAUAAGAGGUCCCGCCUGCCCUGUGACAUGAAUGUUUAACGGCCGCGGUAUUUUGACCGUGCGAAGGUAGCGCAAUCACUUGUCCUUUAAAUGGGGACCUGUAUGAAUGGCAUAACGAGGGCUUAGCUGUCUCCUUUUUCAGGUCAGUGAAAUUGAUCUCCCCGUGCAGAAGCGGGGAUGUUAACAUAAGACGAGAAGACCCUAUGGAGCUUUAGACACUAAAGCAGACCACGUUAAGCACCCUCAGAUAAAGAAUAAAACUACAUGGCCCCUGCCCUAAUGUCUUUGGUUGGGGCGACCGCGGGGGAAUACAAAGCCCCCAUGAGGAACGGGAAAACCCUUCCUACAGCCAAGAGUUCCCACUCUAGUGACCAGAACUUCUGACCUUUCAGAUCCGGCAAAGCCGAUCAACGGACCGAGUUACCCUAGGGAUAACAGCGCAAUCCUCUUUUAGAGCCCAUAUCGACAAGAGGGUUUACGACCUCGAUGUUGGAUCAGGACAUCCUAAUGGUGCAGCCGCUAUUAAGGGUUCGUUUGUUCAACGAUUAAUAGUCCUACGUGAUCUGAGUUCAGACCGGAGUAAUCCAGGUCAGUUUCUAUCUAUGAUAUGAUCUUUUCUAGUACGAAAGGACCGAAAAGAAGAGGCCCCUGCUCUAAGUACGCCUCACCUCCAACUGAUGAAAUCAACUAAAACAGUCAAGGAGGC
RNAcentral lists this ribosomal RNA (1583 nucleotides) under Sillago maculata (trumpeter sillago). RNAcentral's name for it is "partial 16S ribosomal RNA". It matches the Rfam family "Bacterial large subunit ribosomal RNA", at positions 216 to 2798 of the family's 2925-position model. The record is from RNAcentral. Lineage: Eukaryota; Metazoa; Chordata; Actinopteri; Sillaginidae.